Molecule: long non-coding RNA, 227 nt
Organism: Rhipicephalus microplus (southern cattle tick)
Lineage: Eukaryota; Metazoa; Arthropoda; Arachnida; Ixodida; Ixodidae
Source: RefSeq, a predicted model, not a curated record
GUUGCCACUGCGGUGCUUCUACAAACAAUGAAUAUACGAUAACAAACAAAAGUGAUCCAAGGUAUUGUAAACAAUUUAGCCCAACCUGCAAUCAUGGACCGUCGAAAUGCGAGUAUCCCUGCCUGUGUGACCGGGUCGUCAAUUCUGUUUUUAAUACACACCGUGAGUGUAAACCCUACAAACUAGGUUAAGAAAAUGAAUUUUAAAAUAAACAAUCUGAAACUUCA